GCAGCGAAACGCGAUAGUUAAUGUGAAUUGCAGAAUUCAGUGAAUCAUCGAGUCUUUGAACGCACAUUGCGCCCAUUGGUAUUCCAUUGGGCAUGUCUGUUUGAGCGUCAUUACAACCCUCGGUCACCACCGGUUUUGAGCAAGCGAGGUCUCCGGACCCGGCUGGCUUUAAAGUUGUAAGCUCUGCUGGCUGCCAGGCCCAACCAGAACAUAGUAAAAUCAUGCUUGUUCACGGUUCGCGGUCGAAGCGGUACGACCUGAACAAUACCUACCACCUCUCAGGUUUGACCUCAGAUCAGACAAGGAUACCCGCUGAACUUAAGCAUAUCAAUAAGCGGAGGAAAAGAAACCAACAGGGAUUGCCUCAGUAACGGCGAGUGAGGCGGCAAAAGCUCAAAUUUGAAAUCUGGAGCCUUCGGCUUCCGAGUUGUAAUUUGAAGAGGGUGUUUCGGGAGUAGCCUUGGCCCAAGUUCCUUGGAACAGGACGUCAUGGAGGGUGAGAAUCCCGUACAUGGCUGAAGGCUUUCUCUCAUG
This 534-nucleotide ribosomal RNA is filed under the name uncultured Orbiliaceae. RNAcentral's name for it is "eukaryotic LSU rRNA". The stretch from base 286 to 534 matches the Rfam family "Eukaryotic large subunit ribosomal RNA", at positions 1 to 246 of the family's 3401-position model. Lineage: Eukaryota; Fungi; Ascomycota; Orbiliomycetes; Orbiliales. The record is from RNAcentral.